GUGCUCACUUUGGCAUCACAUAUAUUAAAAUUGAAUGAUACAGAGAUUAGUAUGGACCCUGCACAAAGAUGACAUGCAAACUCGUGAAGCAUUCCACAUUUUU
Nomascus leucogenys (northern white-cheeked gibbon) is the source of this 103-nucleotide small nuclear RNA. Lineage: Eukaryota; Metazoa; Chordata; Mammalia; Primates; Hylobatidae. The record is from Ensembl.